AAAGUAAGAAAAAGUGGCUAAUCGAAGAGGUGACAAUGCCAGAAUACUCUAUUGUUAAUUGUGUAUAAAAUGCUUCGCAAAGCCAAAAGAAUGUCAUGUCUUCUCUCCCAAACAUUACUUCCUUCUUCAGCUGCUAAUUCCGUCUGUAAUUUCAAGCCUACUAUCGCUCCACAUCAUCUUCUUCUUCCGAGGUUGUUGGGUUUAAGACCCAAGAUUGGAUUUUUGGGUUCAUUGAGAGGAAUGGCAACGAAAAUGGAUAUCAUUCAGCAAAACCCUGAGGCCAUUUCGUAUCUAAACCAGAAAGAAGCUGCUCAAAUUGAUGAGAUACUUAUGGGUCCUCUUGGUUUCAGUGUUGAUCAACUUAUGGAACUGGCUGGCUUGAGUGUUGCUGCUGCAAUUGCUGAGGUCUACAGACCAAGUGAGUACAGUCGUGUUCUUACUAUUUGCGGUCCUGGUAAUAAUGGCGGUGAUGGUCUUGUAGCUGCUCGUCAUCUAUAUCACUUUGGCUAUAAACCAUUCAUAUGUUACCCUAAGCGUACUGCUAAGCCUCUUUAUGAUGGCUUGGUAACUCAGCUUGAGUCGCUGUCAGUUCCUUUCUUGUCAUUGGAAGAUUUGCCAAAGGACUUGUCUGACAGCUUUGACAUUCUAGUGGAUGCAAUGUUCGGAUUCUCGUUCCAUGGUAGCCCAAGGCCACCUUUUGAUGACUUAAUCCAGAGACUGGUGGCACUAAAGCUUAAUGGCGAUACACAUCAGAAAUCACCUGCCAUCAUCUCUAUAGAUAUUCCAUCUGGAU
This 793-nucleotide unclassified non-coding RNA is filed under the name Hevea brasiliensis (rubber tree). The record is from RNAcentral. Lineage: Eukaryota; Viridiplantae; Streptophyta; Magnoliopsida; Malpighiales; Euphorbiaceae.